This 488-nucleotide ribosomal RNA is filed under the name uncultured bacterium. RNAcentral describes it as "bacterial SSU rRNA". It matches the Rfam family "Bacterial small subunit ribosomal RNA", at positions 28 to 509 of the family's 1533-position model. The record is from RNAcentral.
GAUGAACGCUAGCGGCAGGCUUAAUACAUGCAAGUCGUGGGGCAGCAUGAAGUAGCAAUACUUUGAUGGCGACCGGCAAACGGGUGCGGAACACGUACACAACCUUCCUUUUAGUGGGGAAUAGCCCAGAGAAAUUUGGAUUAAUACCCCGUAACAUAGCGAUGUGGCAUCACAUUGCUAUUAUAGCUUCGGCGCUAGAUGAUGGGUGUGCGUAUGAUUAGAUAGUUGGCGAGGUAACGGCUCACCAAGUCUACGAUCAUUAGCUGAUGUGAGAGCAUGAUCAGCCACACGGGCACUGAGACACGGGCCCGACUCCUACGGGAGGCAGCAGUAAGGAAUAUUGGUCAAUGGACGAAAGUCUGAACCAGCCAUGCCGCGUGAAGGAUUAAGGUCCUCUGGAUUGUAAACUUCUUUUAUAUGGGACGAAAAAAGGUCUUUCUAGAUCACUUGACGGUACCAUAUGAAUAAGCACCGGCUAACUCCGUGCU